AUGCUUGCUUCAGCAGCAUAUAUUCUAAAAUUAGUACAAUAUAGAGAUUAGUAUGACCCCUGUACAAGAAUGACAUACAAAUUCAUAAAGCAUUUCAUACUUUU
Molecule: small nuclear RNA, 104 nt
Organism: Ictidomys tridecemlineatus (thirteen-lined ground squirrel)
Lineage: Eukaryota; Metazoa; Chordata; Mammalia; Rodentia; Sciuridae
Source: Ensembl